AACAUUGUGUGAACAUGUUUUUUGUGCUCGCUUUUUCUACGUGAUCUGGGUGUUGCUGUCACUGUCACGAAUAGUGCUCUUUUUAUUAGUAAUGUUGUGAUUCAUUUUUACUCCAUUUCUUGUCUAAAGGUUGUUUUCCCCUUAAAUUUCUUGUCUAACGGUUGUUUUCUUGACAGCUGUGAUUGAAAUUAUGCCCCAUGUUUGAUUUAAUGCUUUAACCUUCAGAAUGUUGGUGAAUAUAGGAAAAUCUGUUCUUUCUCAGCUUUAGCUCUUUCUCUCUGAUGUAAUGUCAUUUUUAUACAUCCUUUUUAAAGUGAAGUGUUUUCUCUUUAAUGGCUGGUUCUCCUAUGAAAAGCAUCUGAAGUUCUAAGGUCCGUAAAGAUUAUGUUUUAGUUACUAUUGAAGAGUUAAUUAGACCAGACCAAUAAGAUCUAAAGUUGUCCAGUCCUUUCAAAUUUUAGGAUUGAUGUAACUGCACUAACCACAUAAUGUUUCUAGUACUUUGUCCUGCAUUUCUUGCUUCGACUGUCUCUGCUUUCUACCUGUUGUAUGAUUAUUUAUGUUAUUGCUGUAUUGCACCUCUAAGACUGCUUAUUAGCAGAUAUUUAUUGGUUACUUUUCUAGUCUUUGGUAAGCACGAGUUCGAAUGAACCAUGGACUGCAAUAGUCUCUAGUCUUAGUUAAGCAUGAGUCUGAAUGAACCAUGAAUUGUAAUAGUUGGCACCAGAUGAAUGCCGGAAUGCUACUUAUGAUGUAAUGUACUUAUCUUUUUAACCAUGAGACAUUGAUAAGUUUCAGUUCCAACUUAAUUGACUGUCAAUUGAUUGACUUUUUGGCAACUUAAUUGACUGUCAAUUGAUUGAUUUUUUGGCUUUCAAUCGGCACGGGGUCAAGUCAGAGGUUGGAAACUCAUACUGAAUUUUUCGACUGUUUCUGCUGCUGAUAACCGACAAGAAACACUAGGUAUACAUUUCUCAUGUUUGAUGUAGUUAAAGUAAUUGUGACGGAAGUGAGUAGCUGCAUGGGUUGUUCCAACCAUAACAUAUUGUAUAAGAUAAGUUUGACCUUGAUUUUGGUGAACACCUGGGUGAGAUAUUUGCGGACUCAAGACUGGACCGUGCUGUGACCUAUCACGAGUCACGCACAGCUAGUGUAAUUUGACAAAUGACUUUGGCUAGAUUCUCUAAGCUGUACUUGGAACCAUGCAAAUACCAUAGUUUUAUUGGAAACAUGUAAUGUUCAAGCUGCCAUUUUUUUAUGAGCCGUGUAUUUGAAUAUUUGGACUUCCAAUAUGCCUGAGUUCUUUUGUAGGCAUGUCAAGUUUACUUCACCAUUUUGACCAAUGGCUAUCCCCGAUACAGUGUAUACUUCACCUUAGAAUAUAAGUUUAGUUUAUUCCUAUAAACAUAAAAAUUAUGGUUGACUAUAUAAAGGACAUGUUUGUAGAUGUGGCAAUAUGGUUUUCACCUUGUGGGAUCAAAUAAACAAAAUAUACAUGUGUGUAUAGUAGAUUUUUUGUGCAAAUGACCUUGUUAUGACUUUGAAAUUCAAACAAGGAGGUUAUCUUGUGUUUGUAUAUGCGGCCACAAAUUUAGACAAAUAAGUCAUUGGAAUCAUAUCUGGAAAUAUUAGUAGGAUGGGGAUAGUAACAAGGAGGAAGAUAUGGGCUCUCAGCUAGUGGACUGGGAGGUGGUUCAACUGGAUAAAAGGUGUGGUGGUUUGGGUAUCAGGGAUUUAAGAAUGCAGAGCAAUGAUGAAAUGGUUAUGGAGAUUCAAUUGGGAACAUGAGGCUUUGUUGAAGGAAGUAAUGUGAGCAAAUAUGGCCAGACUGAUUAAAGAUGUUAGACAGUUGACCACUUAAACUACAUAGUUAGAGAUUGUUUGCUAUUGCUUAUGCCUCAGCAGAGAAGUAAAGUCCUGCUCUCCUCUCGUCCCCGUAGGUUUCUAGUUCUAUAGCUUAACCCUUACUUUUACGAUGAAAGGACAGAGGUGUGGCGGCAAGUCAAAUUUUUGGUCUCCAAAUUUCAGUCCCAGUAGAAUCUUAUUUUUGUCGCGAUUAGGCAUAAGUGGUGAAAGAAGUGGGACCUAGACAUCAAAUAUAGGAUUGUUUUUAUAUACAAUCUCCAUUUUAGUAGUCCUAGCUAUCCACUUUACUAUGUGGUAGAGUGUUCAUCCCAACCCCUUCACAGGGGUGCAUUCCCUUUAAUUGAGAUGACUAGAAAUUGACUCCCCUAUUCGAGAUGUGAAAGAAGGGUAUGGAGUUUAUCCAAGGAAUGCUCUCCCAUGGUGUACUGAUAAUGUUACUAGAAUCUAUGGAACAUCGCUGUGGAGAACUAUCAGAAACCUUAGGCCUAAGUUGUCUUGAUCACAUGAAUUGAAAGGUGCGAAAUGGGAGCAAAAUAUUAUUCUGGGCUGAUCUAUAAAUUGGCCUGGGGAUUCUGAAGCAGACAUUCCCAGACCUCUUCAAUAUUUGUUCUGCUCCUAGUCUCAGCAGCUGACAGCUGGUCACCAGUCACUACAAUGGUGGGAUGUCUCGGAACACCUGGAUGAUUGGGUACUGAGAAGAUUUGCGGAGUUGAUGAAGGUCCGAGAGGGUUUCAAUAGCACCACUACAGAUGGAAGCAUAACAGGGAUGAGAUCUCAGUUAGAACAAGCUACAAGCAAGAAGCAGGGAUGCAACCUCAGAUCACAACAGGGCCCUGGAAACAUGUUUGGUCAAACAUGGCGCCAACAAAAGUAAAAUGCUUUGGUUGGCUAGUUUCCAGGAAGCCUGCCUCACACAUCAAGAAUUGCAGAAGAGAAAGUUUCACAUUGCUUCUGGCGUUUUCUCUGCUAUGAGAAAAGAGAGACCAACAACCACACAUUCCUACAUUGCAAACUCAAAUCUCAAUUAUGGUCUCUGUUCCUCCAAUUAACAAUGCUUAAAUGGACAAUGCCGAGUACUCAACAGAUCUCUUAGGUUGCUGGACAAGGAGAGGGGGCAGCAAGAAUCAAAAGAACUGGGGGUUAUUAAUUCCACCCUGUAUUUGGCGGACAAUUUGGAAGGAGAGAAAUGGUGGAUGUUUUGAAGAUAAGACACAACAUCCACAAAGUAAAGCAUGUCCCUAAUGCCGAGGAAUACAAAUUUUACCAGAUUCAAAAAAGAAAAUAUGCCCAAGUUCUUACUUAGCAGGGAAGAAUGAAGGACGCCCAGCUUGGAUCACAUAUUAUGAGAUUUCAUGGUAUGAUCGUGGCAAGGACUCAUCUGAAUGACUGACUGAUCCUAAUAUUACUUCUGGCGAUAGUUUUCCUACUAAAUUAUAUUCAUCUGUUUUAUUGGUUUGUUGGGAAAGACAUGAUGGAAGAUCUCAAGUAUUUUCUAAAAAGUAGUAUUGUACCUAUUUGGGCUAUGCCAGUGAGUUGAUCCUCAUACUUAAUUCAGUAGCUAUAAAAUUACUCCAUGGAUGCGAUUAGUACCUCA
Solanum lycopersicum (tomato) is the source of this 3460-nucleotide non-coding RNA. NCBI's taxonomy places the organism in Eukaryota, Viridiplantae, Streptophyta, Magnoliopsida, Solanales, Solanaceae. The record is from RefSeq and is a predicted model, not a curated record.